GAUGAACGCUAGCUACAGGCUUAACACAUGCAAGUCGAGGGGCAGCAUGAACUUAGCUUGCUAAGUUUGAUGGCGACCGGCGCACGGGUGAGUAACACGUAUCCAACCUGCCGAUGACUCGGGGAUAGCCUUGCGAAAGCAAGAUUAAUACCCGAUGUUCUCACUGUUCCGCAUGUUACGGUGAGCAAAGAAUUUCGGUAUGCGAUGGCGAUGCGUCCCAUUAGCUAGUUGGCGGGGUAACGGCCCACCAAGGCUCCGAUGGGUAGGGGUUCUGAGAGGAAGGUCCCCCACACUGGAACUGAGACACGGUCCAG
This 314-nucleotide ribosomal RNA is filed under the name uncultured bacterium. Its description in RNAcentral is "bacterial SSU rRNA". It matches the Rfam family "Bacterial small subunit ribosomal RNA", at positions 28 to 334 of the family's 1533-position model. The record is from RNAcentral.